CGGGGAGCAAUUCAACAGGCUCCAGACCUGUGGCCAAUACGAGCUGCAGAGGGGGAACUGAAGGUUCCUGCCAGUGCUAAUGAUGCCAAUUGGAGCCUCUGGCAGAAGUAGGGUAGGAAGGAAGUGCCCUUAGGAUUUGGGAAUAGGAAGUUACUGGAAGCCAGCCCAAGAUAGACCCUGUUGGAGAAGCGGCUCUGAAACCUGUGGAUCCUGGCCAUCCUCACAGCCCUUGUGGUCCCUCUGGGCGAUGCUGUUGGCCCGGGCAGUUCCCUGGAAAAGGUGCCUGGGUCGGGUGCCUUGGUUUGAUUUGGAUGGAGAUGGAAAAGCAGCUCCAAACCAGGACCCCAGGACAAGGUGACGUGGGAAGCAAAUGGCCCUUGCCCAGGGGUCAGUGUCCCUUUGUGCCCGGGGGGACUCUCUGGCAGGGCCGGGGUCUGUCGGGCUCAUUGUGCGGGCGGCUGUUGGUGCCCUCAGUGGGAUUGGAUGGAUGUGAUUCCAGGGGCUGGGAGCACUGUUGCCAUGCAGUGCUGUAGUUUCCCUUACGGUGCCGGGUCCGGGGGGGUCUCCCUGGCAUCGUUGUCCCCCUGUGUGAGCGGUGCCAGUCCCAGCCCCAGUGUCACAGCAGCAGGGCCGUCCCCUGGGCUCUGCCUGCUGGGCUGUUCUGGGAAGUGCUGCCAAAAGAGCAAAGGGAUCAGCUGGGGCAGGGGAUGGCACAGUUUGGCACCAUC
Molecule: long non-coding RNA, 728 nt
Organism: Pseudopipra pipra
Lineage: Eukaryota; Metazoa; Chordata; Aves; Passeriformes; Pipridae
Exons: 3
Source: RefSeq, a predicted model, not a curated record